Long non-coding RNA from Coregonus clupeaformis (lake whitefish), 205 nucleotides. RefSeq lists it as uncharacterized. NCBI's taxonomy places the organism in Eukaryota, Metazoa, Chordata, Actinopteri, Salmoniformes, Salmonidae. The transcript is spliced from 3 exons. The record is from RefSeq and is a predicted model, not a curated record.
CUCAAGGAAAAGAAGGUUUUGAGAAGAAGAUGGCCCUCAGUAGGAAGAGGAAGUGGGACUCACGGAACGAGGGAGAUGUUACAGGCAAGAGAAAGGGAGAUGCAGCAGGAGAGUUCAACAAAAAGGAAGAAGCAAAGGGUAUUUUCUCAAAGAGCUUGCAGCACAAGUCAAUCACAAAAGUCUCUGAGUCUGCAGCAUCAGAAGA